GGAAUAUCGGACAAUGGGGGCAACCCUGAUCCAGCCAUGCCGCGUGAGUGAAGAAGGCCUUAGGGUUGUAAAGCUCUUUCGCCAGGGAAGAUAGUGACGGUACCUGGUAAAGAAGUCCCGGCUAACUCCGUGCCAGCAGCCGCGGUAAUACGGAGGGGACUAGCGUUGUUCGGAAUUACUGGGCGUAAAGAGUACGUAGGCUGUUGAUCAAGUUGGGUGUGAAAGCCCGGGGCUCAACCCCGGAACUGCAUUCGAAACUGAUUGGCUAGAGAUCGGAAGAGGUAAGUGGAAUUCCCAGUGUAGAGGUGAAAUUCGUAGAUAUUGGGAAGAACACCGGUGGCGAAGGCGACUUACUGGUCCGAUACUGACGCUGAGGUACGAAAGCGUGGGGAGCAAAC
RNAcentral lists this ribosomal RNA (398 nucleotides) under uncultured bacterium. Its description in RNAcentral is "bacterial SSU rRNA". It matches the Rfam family "Bacterial small subunit ribosomal RNA", at positions 358 to 773 of the family's 1533-position model. The record is from RNAcentral.